ACCCGCUGAAUUUAAGCAUAUCAAUAAGCGGAGGAAAAGAAACCAACAGGGAUUGCCUUAGUAACGGCGAGUGAAGCGGCAAAAGCUCAAAUUUGAAAUCGGCCACCAGGUCGAGUUGUAAUUUGUAGAUUGUAUCUUGAGAGCGGAUUAAAGUCUGUUGGAACACAGCGCCUUAGAGGGUGACAGCCCCGUAAAAUCUAUUCUCAUUGUAAGAUACUUUCGAAGAGUCGAGUUGUUUGGGAAUGCAGCUCUAAGUGGGAGGUAAAUUCCUUCUAAAGCUAAAUAUUGACGAGAGACCGAUAGCGAACAAGUACUGUGAAGGAAAGAUGAAAAGCACUUUGAAAAGAGAGUGAAAAAGUACGUGAAAUUGUUAAAAGGGAAGGGUAUUGAAUCAGACUUGGUGCUGUUGUUCAACUGUGUUUCGGCAUAGUGUACUCAGCAGUACUAGGCCAAGGUGGGGUGUUUGGGAGUGAAAAAGAAGUUGGAACGUAACUCUUCGGAGUGUUAUAGCCUACUUUCAUAGCUCCUCAGGCGCCUCAGGACUGCGCUUCGGCAAGGACCUUGGCAUAAUGAUUCUAUACCGCCCGUCUUGAAACACGGACCAAGGAG
Molecule: ribosomal RNA, 609 nt
Filed under: uncultured fungus
Lineage: Eukaryota; Fungi
Description: eukaryotic LSU rRNA
Rfam family: Eukaryotic large subunit ribosomal RNA
Source: RNAcentral